GAGGGUCUAGCUCAGUGGCAGAGUGCGUGCCUUGCACACACAAAGUUCUGGGUUCAAUCCCCACAACCUCCA
RNAcentral lists this transfer RNA (72 nucleotides) under Camelus bactrianus (Bactrian camel). It matches the Rfam family "tRNA". From Rfam's summary of the family: Transfer RNA (tRNA) molecules are approximately 80 nucleotides in length. Their secondary structure includes four short double-helical elements and three loops (D, anti-codon, and T loops). Further hydrogen bonds mediate the characteristic L-shaped molecular structure. tRNAs have two regions of fundamental functional importance: the anti-codon, which is responsible for specific mRNA codon recognition, and the 3' end, to which the tRNAs corresponding amino acid is attached (by aminoacyl-tRNA synthetases). tRNAs cope with the degeneracy of the genetic code in two manners: having more than one tRNA (with a specific anti-codon) for a particular amino acid; and 'wobble' base-pairing, i.e. permitting non-standard base-pairing at the 3rd anti-codon position. RNAcentral also lists the same sequence under 1 other name. The record is from Rfam by way of RNAcentral. Lineage: Eukaryota; Metazoa; Chordata; Mammalia; Artiodactyla; Camelidae.